AAUGAAUGAAUGAACAGGGCUUCACCUCAGGCCUUCCCUUAAGUUCUGAACUUCUGGGAGUUCAGGAAUGUAGAUAGGGAAGCUAAGGAAGCCAUCCUGGUCUGCCUCGCAUCUCCAUCACUGCUGCCCCCUUCUGCCUUCUGGCCCUGCUGCUGCCCCGUCUCAGUUUGGGAGUCCCCAUGUCCACAGCUGAGUCUGUCAAUCAAGCCUAUAACCUGGCGCUCGACAUGCAGAGGCACACUUCCACCCUGCUGCAGACUUAUCUCCAGCACCAAGGCAGUCCCUUUAGUGAUCCCGACUUCUGAAUCUCUGAACUCUCGCUCAGAACUCUGCCUCCAAACCACAUGCACUUAGAGAUCUGGCAUGCCCUGGAAGAUGAAGUACGUCUGAGCCUCACCCA
Molecule: long non-coding RNA, 400 nt
Organism: Bubalus bubalis (water buffalo)
Lineage: Eukaryota; Metazoa; Chordata; Mammalia; Artiodactyla; Bovidae
Exons: 3
Source: RefSeq, a predicted model, not a curated record